UAGGGAAUCUUCCGCAAUGGGCGAAAGCCUGACGGAGCAAUGCCGCGUGAGUGAUGAAGGUUUUCGGAUCGUAAAGCUCUGUUGCCAGGGAAGAACGCUUGGGAGAGUAACUGCUCUCAAGGUGACGGUACCUGAGAAGAAAGCCCCGGCUAACUACGUGCCAGCAGCCGCGGUAAUACGUAGGGGGCAAGCGUUGUCCGGAAUUAUUGGGCGUAAAGCGCGCGCAGGCGGUCAUGUAAGUCUGGUGUUUAAUCCCGGGGCUCAACCCCGGAUCGCACUGGAAACUGUGUGACUUGAGUGCAGAAGAGGAGAGUGGAAUUCCACGUGUAGCGGUGAAAUGCGUAGAGAUGUGGAGGAACACCAGUGGCGAAGGCGACUCUCUGGGCUGUAACUGACGCUG
This 400-nucleotide ribosomal RNA is filed under the name uncultured bacterium. RNAcentral describes it as "bacterial SSU rRNA". It matches the Rfam family "Bacterial small subunit ribosomal RNA", at positions 355 to 748 of the family's 1533-position model. The record is from RNAcentral.